Molecule: transfer RNA, 82 nt
Filed under: Candidatus Azambacteria bacterium
Lineage: Bacteria; Candidatus Azamiibacteriota
Description: tRNA-Leu
Rfam family: tRNA
About the family: Transfer RNA (tRNA) molecules are approximately 80 nucleotides in length. Their secondary structure includes four short double-helical elements and three loops (D, anti-codon, and T loops).
Source: RNAcentral
GUCGGGAUGGCGAAACUGGUAAACGCGCCAGCCCUAGGAGCUGGUGGGGCAACCCUUGGGAGUUCGACUCUCCCUCCCGACA